This 253-nucleotide long non-coding RNA is filed under the name Callithrix jacchus (white-tufted-ear marmoset). RNAcentral describes it as "lncRNA (ENSCJAG00000080519.1)". Lineage: Eukaryota; Metazoa; Chordata; Mammalia; Primates; Cebidae. The record is from RNAcentral.
CUUUUAUUUGGGUAAUGAGGAGAGGUGGUCUCCUGAGCAGAGUUUCUUAAGCUUGCCGUGUCUCCCUGUCAGUCCCCAUUUGCCAACCCCAACUCUAACCUAUUUAUCAGGUAAAAUCUUUGUCUUCUUUCAGAGCCCAGCUCAAAAUCACUUCCUCCAAGAAAUUGUCUUUUAUUCUCAGUCUGAAAUUCUCUUCCUCCUGAGAAUUUUCAGAAACCAAUUUUGGAGCCUUUAAAAAUUGUUCAUUACAAUU